Molecule: ribosomal RNA, 102 nt
Filed under: Algibacter mikhailovii
Lineage: Bacteria; Pseudomonadati; Bacteroidota; Flavobacteriia; Flavobacteriales; Flavobacteriaceae
Source: RNAcentral
GGUGGUUAUAGCGAUGGGGCUCACCUCUUACCAUUCCGAACAGAGAAGUUAAGCCCAUUUGCGCCGAUGGUACUACAUUUGUGGGAGAGUAGGUCGUUGCCU